Molecule: transfer RNA, 58 nt
Filed under: Rhodococcus sp. (in: high G+C Gram-positive bacteria)
Lineage: Bacteria; Bacillati; Actinomycetota; Actinomycetes; Mycobacteriales; Nocardiaceae
Also listed under: 2 other names
Description: Rhodococcus sp. tRNA-Met
Rfam family: tRNA
About the family: Transfer RNA (tRNA) molecules are approximately 80 nucleotides in length. Their secondary structure includes four short double-helical elements and three loops (D, anti-codon, and T loops).
Source: RNAcentral
UGGAGCAGCUCGGUAGCUCGCUGGGCUCAUAACCCAGAGGUCGCAGGUUCAAAUCCUG